This 318-nucleotide ribosomal RNA is filed under the name Triticum aestivum (bread wheat). Its description in RNAcentral is "partial small subunit ribosomal RNA". Lineage: Eukaryota; Viridiplantae; Streptophyta; Magnoliopsida; Poales; Poaceae. The record is from RNAcentral.
AUGGAACAAUUAAAAAAUAUAGAUACGACGGAGACGUAUCAGACAACUAUGUUGGGUAGAGUGGAAGAACUAAUUGAUCUGCAUUCUGGUCAAUGGGAUGAGGAGCUGGUACGAUCGAUCUUCUCACCGGUGUAUGUGCAUAGAAUUUUGCAAAUACCACUUCAAAUAGAGGUGAUGUACGAUUUUAUUGCGUGGUACCAUACUCGGUCUAGCACAUUCUUUGUAAGAUUUGUGUAUCACGUUGAAUUUGAACACAAAUUUGGUCACAAUUGGAACCGGAAUGACAGAACGGGCAGCCAUCAAGAGAGGAAAGGUUAA